UGGUUUGAACACUCUGCCUGCCUGCGUGCCCACAAAUGUCCAUCAGACCAAACCCCUCUAUACCCUUGGGGCUCAGUCAGGUCUGCAGAUCUCAGUAAUGUGCUGUUUACCUCCUUCCUGCAGACUGUUAAGGAAGUGGUUGCAUAUACUCAGUCUCAGCCCCAUGCCUGUAGCCCCCAUUCUGUCAGUUGCUUUUUAUUAUCACCUCUUGUGUAGAGAUUUAGCCACUUUCAGUCCACAGGGUAGCAUUCCUCGGAGGCUGGGAAUCCACUCGCCUCCUCACCCUGGCAGCUGGGAACCAUCACAGCAAUUUCCACAUAACUUAAGUUUUCUGUUUAAAAACAUUUCUUGACCUUAUGUCUGUGAAGAAACUUCCAAAUGUGGCCUGAAGCCAAGCUGCCUUCCUGAAUCUGCAGACAGACAGCUCCAAAGCUCCUGGUGCCACAGGUUCAGGCAUCCCUAUAGGUUUCUCAAUAGCAGCCAUGAAACAGACCAGAAUCAUGUUCUAUGCAGUGGUGGUGUGGCCACCUCAGUCUCAGGGUAUUAGAGCGACAAGGUGGGUGAGGCAGUAUCUUCUACUGGACCAACUGCAGUUAGUGAGAGACAACUUUUGUUGUUUCUCUCACCACCAGAAGUUGUUCCAAUAAAAGAUAUUACCUCAUCCACCUUGUCUCUCAGAAUCAUGUUAGUUUCAUUCUACAGCUCCUUGGGGAACAGCAGGAGAGGCAGGCAUUGGAGCUGUUCACAGAAGGGCCAGUGCAGCAGAGACUGCCCUCAGCAGCCAAGGGUGAGGGACAGAGAGAGAAGCCAGUAGAUUUAGCCUUCUGGUUAGCAAGUGUCUGGCAAAUUUUCCAAGCUCUGGUGUUUCACUGCAUGUCAAUUUCAGUUUAUUUUCCAGUAUAGAUUAUGUGAGACACAAUCUCAAUGUGUUAUUAAAUUUCACAUAUAUCACACAUGCUGCUUUCUGGUUGGCCACUCCUUUGGAAUUUCUGUCAAACAAGCACUGAUGUUUCUGUUUGUUAUAAACCACCCCCAACAGCCACUUAUUGCUCAUGCUUCCAUUUCCUCCUAGAUUCCAUAUUUUCAAAACAUCAGUGCACACAAUCACCUGCACAUGGAGUUGCUGAGCACUAACAAUUCUGCCUUAAGAUGACAGAUUGUAACACCUGUAUAGAUUAGUGAUCGAACUUCCACUCAGAAGUAUCACCUGCAUACACAAGUGUUAGUGCUGGAAGUGUGUGCAUGGAGGUGUUUGCUUGUGCCGCCAGGACAGAGGUUUCUCUGAAAAACUGACUCUAGAUUUUUAGUGACUUUUCUCUUCAUAUUUGUCCAAUUUUUGCUGGAGAGAGAAGGGAGCCUUAUUGAGCGGUGAUUGAGAUGCUCGUUCCUCUUUUUCCUUUUUUGGAAGUCAGGACCACAUUUGUUUUCCUCUAGUCUUCUGAUGUUUCUCUGAUCCAGGACUCAUCAGAACUAAUUAUCAGUGGGUCAGUAAAUUCAUGGGCUAAUUCUCUUAAGAUCCUAGAGUGACAUCAUCUGAGCCCAUAGAAUUGUUUAUGUUCAGAUUUUACAAGUGUCCCCUGCUCCUUGUCAGGAGCCAUUAUACUAGCUCUUCCUUCCAGAUGGAUUGUUCAAACUCCUUUUCUAUAUUUAUCUUGUUGAAGACAGAUUUAAAAGGAGCGGUUGAGUAUCUGAGCCACCACUGAGGCAGAGCUUUCCAGGUAGACAGGAGAUGCCGUGGAGCAGGGAAGGAGAGGAUGUGCUGGGUGCACACAAGGGGGCAGAGGGACAAGUUGGGAGGAGGUACCGUGGUGCAGGUGAAUCAUGGGAGAAUGUGCAAAUCCUGAAUUUAGAAGAGAGAUGUGGUGGUUUUAGCUCUGAGAUGUACUUUCUUGUUACGAAUGCUCAAUCCUGACUCAGAAGACCCAGUGCAGAGGUCAAGCGUAGAGUUCUUCUCUUCUGGUGGCCAGGCAGGCAUAUGUCAGCCCUUUCUCAGCACUGUUUUGGGCUAGAGAUUGCAGAAUCUCUUGCCCUUGGCAGGCAGCUCAAGCCUUCUGUCAGGUCAGUGUUCAGGUUCUUUGUCUCAGCUUAACAUGCCACAUGAUGACCCAUUCCAGUUGGAGCUGCAAAGGGAAGAGACUGGGCCUGCACCUUUGUUUGUGCCUUUAUGCUGGUGAAAGAGUCCUGGUAGCACUGGUGGGUUUAGUUCUGUCAAGUUUUUUUCCCCCACUUAAUAUGUCUUAAGCAGUUCAGGUCUUGCACACUCUGGAGACUCUAUCGUGAGCAGAAAAGAGCCAAGGGAGUGGAAGCUGGAGCAGCAGCACAAGGGGGAUUUUCGAUCAGCCAGCCUGUGUAAAGUGCUUUGGUCCCAGUUUGGUUUUGGGCAUGAAUAUUUAACUCAAAUGGCCAGUGAACGUUUUGGGUGAAGGAAACUUUUGUUAAAGAGUAAGAGCUCUGCUCCUUCAAUUGACGUCUGAGAGCUCAUAAUACACGCCCUGAGGCACACUUCUGCCCUGCCAAAAAGCUUCUCCAGUAGAACCAGGGCAGGGCAGACUCAACAAUCCUGAUAUUUCUAGGGGCAAAACCAAGCCCCAAAAACAAACAAAAUCCCCCCUGCCCCCGCCCCCCC
This is a long non-coding RNA of Chelonia mydas (Green sea turtle), 2626 nucleotides long. RefSeq lists it as uncharacterized. Lineage: Eukaryota; Metazoa; Chordata; Testudines; Cheloniidae. The record is from RefSeq and is a predicted model, not a curated record. The transcript has 2 exons.